CAUCCUUGUCUGGUUCAAGAGCUAUCAGCCUCAUCUACCAUUCCUGUGAGGUAUAUGCUCUCUGAGGCUCAUCUUCUCAACAAGUUUUGGGGAAUCAACACACACAUACGUAGAAAAAGAGAGGCAAAUCGACGCGUUGAUCGAGCGAAAUUGAGCCAUGAACAGCCCCCGCACAGAACGGAGGCUGGAAUUGCCAGAACAAGACAAGAUCAAUCUUGAUAAGACCAUCAACACCAGCCAGAGAACGCUCAAGGAACGAAGGUUGGGGUUAUCGAAAUCAGACCAGAGCGCCAAAUUCAAGAAAUCUGCUCGAGCUCGGACGACAACCAUCGACGGCGGUAGUGGCGACUUUCUGGAAAUUGUCGAUGAAUUCACUGGGAUCCAUUCGGCCGGAGGAGGAGGAGAAAGCGAAAAAGGUCUCGGCUAUGGCAAUGAAAAUAAAGGCAGCCCUUGUGGAGCUGGAUUCUCACAGAUUACUUUCUUUCCAAAUCACUUGAAAUUGCCAAGACAGCUGCCUUCAUUUCUAAGAUACUGGGCUGGCAAUCAUUGAGAGGCCAAUGCAGCAGAGCUAGGAUCAGGCCGGGGGUGUUUCCAAAUUUGGUUACAAAUUCCCCUCGCGGUUAACCCUUCCGUUUUAUUUAUGUGGAACGGGGGCUCCGAUAACCACGGCCUUUAUUUAAGGUCCUUAGGCUGGACCAAUUUCUCUUUUGUUCCGGUGAUAUAUCUUAUCCUCCUCUGUGGUCGAAAUUCUUCAGCCACCACCACUUGAGUUAAAGUAGUUCCGGAAGGAAUUUCGUAGAUUACUACUGCAGGAACCUUUUUACUAUAGAAAGUCGGAUGAACAACUAUUAUAUAAGGUGAAAUUCCAAUUGCCACCUGAUGAUGGGUUCAGUUGGAGGAAGUAGAUCAGAAGGAAAUUCUUGGAGCCAAGUAUCCAAGGAACUAUAGGCGCACUCAUUGAAAUGUCCAAGGUUGCUUGGCUAGAAAGCGCGUGCAAAGAUCCGAUGACGACUCCCGUAAAUUCGUGGAGUUGACGAUGCGAUGAGUAGAUACAAAGAUUGGAAGAGGGAGCACAGGGAUAUCGAAGGGGCGCCACCGCAUCAUAUGGUAAUCAGAAUUUUGCAAUAUAAACUAGAGAGAGAGAGAGAGAGAGCCCACAGGUUCAGCCGCCAUUCAGUCAAAACCCACAGGCUACGUUUGGUAGUCAGGAUAAAAUUCAGGAUAGGAUAUUAUUUAUCUUAUCUUAUGUUUGGUGCUCACUCGGGGCAUGAUAAAGUCGGAUAUAAAGGGGAUAUAGACAUGAUAAAAUUAUCCCAUGUGAGAGGUGGGAUAAAGGUGGAUAGGAUUUCUA
Eucalyptus grandis is the source of this 1351-nucleotide long non-coding RNA. RefSeq lists it as uncharacterized. The transcript has 5 exons. The record is from RefSeq and is a predicted model, not a curated record. Lineage: Eukaryota; Viridiplantae; Streptophyta; Magnoliopsida; Myrtales; Myrtaceae.